GAGGGUGGAUGCGCCCCGGUGGGCGUCCUGGUCUUCAAAACCAGUGGCAGGUUGCUCGGCAAGCUGCGGUGAGUUCGACUCUCAUCCGCCCUCG
RNAcentral lists this transfer RNA (94 nucleotides) under Anaerolineae bacterium. RNAcentral describes it as "tRNA-Sec". It matches the Rfam family "Selenocysteine transfer RNA". RNAcentral also lists the same sequence under 3 other names. Lineage: Bacteria; Bacillati; Chloroflexota; Anaerolineae. The record is from RNAcentral.